Molecule: long non-coding RNA, 536 nt
Filed under: Carica papaya (papaya)
Lineage: Eukaryota; Viridiplantae; Streptophyta; Magnoliopsida; Brassicales; Caricaceae
Description: long non-coding RNA (CPAP_LNC016631)
Source: RNAcentral
AUUUAUACCAAUAUUCCUAAAAUGCCAAUUUGUCCAAAAUUUACUUAGUUUACCAAAUUAUAGAUUUUAUUUAUUUAUUUUACCUUGUGCUUGAGGGAAUUUAUCCUCUUAUCUACACCCGCAAUAUGGGGAGCACAUCUGUGAAGACCCCUCACCAUCCGUAGAAGCCUGGUAGGUCAACACGAUGCCCAAGGCUGGCUGCAAUGUGCAGGUGCUUGGAGUGUAGUGGCACUCCCACACACAAGACUUGUGCGCAAAUGCACACCAGCAUGCAUCAUAGUGCCAUGAACAUGCCCGCACGACUGUGACGACAACAACUACAACUAUUAUGAUGAUUACAACUAUUAAGACAAUGACUACGAGUCUGACAACCUAUCUAUGUAGUGGAUUGGUUAUUCAAAGUACAUCUCCAACAACAUCAAAAAAAUUAAAAACUAAACAUCGUAAUACUUGGUUCCUAAGGGUAAUUAAACCUACUGAACCAUAUCAGUACAUUAUUCUGGUUGUUCUUAUCCGUGAAUGGCACCAACAUCUUU